AGUGAACGCUGGCGGUAGGCCUAACACAUGCAAGUCGAACGGCAGCACAGUAAGAGCUUGCUCUUACGGGUGGCGAGUGGCGGACGGGUGAGGAAUACAUCGGAAUCUACUUUUUCGUGGGGGAUAACGUAGGGAAACUUACGCUAAUACCUCAUACGACCUACGGGUGAAAGCAGUGGAUCUUCGGACCUUUCGCGAUUGAAUGAGCCGAUGUCGGAUUAGCUAGUUGGCGGGGUAAAGGCCCACCAAGGCGACGAUCCGUAGCUGGUCUGAGAGGAUGAUCAGCCACACUGGAACUGAGACACGGUCCAGACGACUACGGGAGGCAGCAGUGGGGAAUAUUGGACAAUGGGCGCAAGCCUGAUCCAGCAAUACCGCGUGGGUGAAGAAGGCCUUCGGGUUGUAAAGCCCUUUUGUUGGGAAAGAAAAGCAGCAGGUUAAUACCCCGCUGUUCUGACGGUACCCAAAGAAUAAGCACCGGCUAACUUCGUG
Molecule: ribosomal RNA, 492 nt
Filed under: uncultured bacterium
Lineage: Bacteria
Description: partial 16S ribosomal RNA
Rfam family: Bacterial small subunit ribosomal RNA
Source: RNAcentral